RNAcentral lists this microRNA precursor (90 nucleotides) under Populus trichocarpa (black cottonwood). RNAcentral's name for it is "MIR478 microRNA precursor family". It matches the Rfam family "MIR478 microRNA precursor family". Lineage: Eukaryota; Viridiplantae; Streptophyta; Magnoliopsida; Malpighiales; Salicaceae. The record is from Rfam by way of RNAcentral.
CUUUUUAGGAUUAGACAUCGAUAUUUUAGACGAGUCUUCUAUUUUUAAGGACUGAUGUCAUUUUUAAUGUGUCUCUUAUUUUUAAGGACC